This 542-nucleotide ribosomal RNA is filed under the name uncultured Geobacter sp. Its description in RNAcentral is "partial 16S ribosomal RNA". It matches the Rfam family "Bacterial small subunit ribosomal RNA", at positions 1 to 526 of the family's 1533-position model. Lineage: Bacteria; Pseudomonadati; Thermodesulfobacteriota; Desulfuromonadia; Geobacterales; Geobacteraceae. The record is from RNAcentral.
UAGAGUUUGAUCAUGGCUCAGAACGAACGCUGGCGGCGUGCCUAACACAUGCAAGUCGAACGAGAAAGUCCUUCGGGAUGAGUAGAGUGGCGCACGGGUGAGUAACGCGUGGAUAAUCUGCCCUGGUAUCUGGGAUAACAUCUCGAAAGGGGUGCUAAUACCGGAUAAGCCCACGGGAUYUUCGGAUCUUGCGGGAAAAGGAGGCCUCUAUUUAUAAGCUUCUGUACCAGGAUGAGUCCGCGUCCCAUUAGCUAGUUGGCGGGGUAAUGGCCCACCAAGGCGACGAUGGGUAGCUGGUCUGAGAGGAUGAUCAGCCACACUGGAACUGAGACACGGUCCAGACUCCUACGGGAGGCAGCAGUGGGGAAUUUUGCGCAAUGGGGGAAACCCYGRMGSMRSMAMSSCSSCKKRAGUGAUGAAGGCCUUCGGGUCGUAAAGCUCUGACAGGGGGGAAGAACCGGCAGGAUGCUAAUACCAUCCCGCCCUGACGGUACCCUCAAAGGAAGCACCGGCUAACUCCGUGCCAGCCGCCGCGGUAAUAC